GACGAACGCUGGCGGCGUGCUUAACACAUGCAAGUCGAACGGAAAGGCCCUGCUUUUGUGGGGUGCUCGAGUGGCGAACGGGUGAGUAACACGUGAGUAACCUGCCCUUGACUUUGGGAUAACUUCAGGAAACUGGGGCUAAUACCGGAUAGGAGCUCCUGCUGCAUGGUGGGGGUUGGAAAGUUUCGGCGGUUGGGGAUGGACUCGCGGCUUAUCAGCUUGUUGGUGGGGUAGUGGCUUACCAAGGCUUUGACGGGUAGCCGGCCUGAGAGGGUGACCGGCCACCUUGGGACUGGGGUACCGGCCCGACUCCUUCGGGAGGCAGCCGUGGGGAAUAUUGCACAAUGGGCGGAAGCCUGAUGCAGCAACGCCGCGUGCGGGAUGACGGCCUUCGGGUUGUAAACCGCUUUCGCCUGUGACGAAGCGUGAGUGACGGUAAUGGGUAAAGAAGCACCGGCUAACUACGUG
RNAcentral lists this ribosomal RNA (468 nucleotides) under uncultured bacterium. RNAcentral's name for it is "partial 16S ribosomal RNA". It matches the Rfam family "Bacterial small subunit ribosomal RNA", at positions 28 to 507 of the family's 1533-position model. The record is from RNAcentral.